UAAAGGUCUUCAAGGCUCCAACACCAUUAUAAGCAUUCUGGCUGUGGCUGUGGUAUUUCAGAGGCAUAAAGCCUCUGAGGAACUGUGCUCCCAGAAGGAAUCAGAGAACCAUCACAUCACAUACAUAGAGCAGAGUGGAAGAAGCCUAAUGACAGCAGCUCCCUUCCAGUUCAUCUGUUAUGUUCUACUGUAGCAAGAAGUUAUUUCUCCCCAGAGAGUGUGUCUCCUUGUUUCCUGUUCUUAUCAUCCCCCUCUAAAGAAUGAGAAGCCUCAGGAAACAAAAUGGAAGAAAAGAACAAGCAGAUUAAGAAUUUGAACUAAGAUGUUGUCCUUUGGCAAGCAGAUUUCAUCUGUCUUUCCGCAACUGAGCUCAAGGACUUUUCUUACAUCUGAAGUGGAUGUAAGGGGCAUACCUAGAACCCUUGCACUUGUUUUAUGUACACUGAAAUAAUAACAAAAGUUGAAGGCACAGUCCCAUGCACAUGUAAAGAGCAAAUGCUGAAGGCCAUUAGAUAAGCUGUACUUCUUUUCUGAUGGAAGAAUUCUCUGUCUGUGAUGCAGCUGGAAUCUGCCAGUGCAUGAAUUCAACUUUGGUUUAUCCAGGAGGGGACCUAUUUUGUGCACAGUGGUGAUGAGACCAGGAGUAUACUGCAUGAGUCCAAGGCAAAUGUACUGAGAAGGGAACCAACUCCUCACUUGUUAAGGUAGACUCACUCAUAGUGUUUCAGUGACAAGCAAAUAGCAAGUGUAAAUGGAGUCAUAGUGAAACUUUCUUCUUCUCAGCACCAUAUCGCAUUUUUAGUUGGAGAGAAAUUUCAAAAUUCAAAGAGAAUUCACCGCCUGCAUAGCUUGGGAGACCCAUACCACAACAUUCUGUAGUGUAUUUAAAGAAACAAAAUCAUUUUGAUCUUACUUCUGAAUGUUUACUUGUAGGCAAAUACUUGUGAACGUUUUUUGUUAGCUUGAUUCAGAUUUGCUAUAUUUAUGGUGCGAACUCCAUAGAUUUUUUUAAUUACAAUUAGUCAAAUAAUUGUGCUUAUCCCUUCAUACCAAACAUAUAGCUUGAAGGGCAAUGAGGGUAUAAAAAUGAAGGAAAUUCAGUGUUGCCCACCUCUUGCAUUGAUUAGCUUGAAAGAAAGAUAGUUAUUAUGUUAUAGAAGAAGUAAUUUGACUUGCAAAUAUGGACACAGUGUCUUUUGAGUAUCAUUUGUGGUUGCUCUUCAUAAACGAUACUGUUUCAGUCGCUUUCUCAGUGCAGUUUAAAAAGUUUGCAUAAUGUAACUGACAGAAGGAUUACUUACCUAAUGCAAAGCCUGUGGAGAGGAUUCAGAUAUCAGUAACCUUGAAUUAUGGCCUUCAGCAUGUAAGUUAAAUUCCUGUGGCAAGCCUAGAUAUACCUGACAUAGGACAGGAAAGCAAGGUGUUUUCAUAUUGCUUGUGCAGUUCUGCAGUGGUCAGUGUAUGUAAAAUUAAUUUCUACAAUGUCAAGAGACUAUCAUCAUGCCAGCUACCUUCUUACUAAUGAAAAUGUACAAAUGUACAUCUCUUAUUGGACAACUAAAGGCUUAAGAUAUUUUCCUCCUUUUUUUUUUUUUUUUUUAAAGUUGUGGUACUCAAUAUGCCUAACCUCAAACCUCUCUGCUUCUCCUAUAUUUUGGAAUUAAAAACAACUCUGAUGCCUGAGGCAACGUAGGUAGGUAAGUGAUUGACUGCAGACAUUUAUUGUUAGGGUUUUUUAAGUGAAAUCAUCAAGGAUGUGGCUGAUUUUAUUUAUUUAUUUAUUUUUGUGAUAGGAGGUUAAUGACAUUUCUGUAUCAAUUGCUGUAGUGAUUUUAAGGGUGUAAUAUUGAAAAGGAAAGAUGUUUUCUCCUUGACAGAGGUCCCAGUUAAAGACAGUUGAUACCCUCCUGGCUCAGAGUUGCUGUUGAUCCUGGAAGUCCAUCUCCAGGAGUGACAAUGGCAAAUACUGAUCAGGGAUUGUGUGGUUAUACAUGUUCUCUGGUCCUUUGUCCUCAUACUCUUUCAGCAUUUACUGCUGUACUAGACACAUUAGUGAGUGUAUCCUUUCCUAGUUCUUUUAGUACCCACCAUGUAUGGUGACUGAAAUUUUUUUCUGUGAUCCUACUAAAAUUUCCUCCACAACCUCCUGUGGCAGCAAGGUUCUCUGCUUACUAUCAAAAGCAGUUUUUAUCUCUUUUGGGCUAACUCCCACUGUUUUCUUCAUGGGUUCCCAAUGUCUUGCAUUCCAGGGUUGGGUGAAUGGCUAUAUAUCUAUUGCUUUUGCAACUUUGUAAACUGAAUUCCUGUCCCAUUCUGACUUAGGGGUCCCAGCAUUUUUUAUUUUAUUAUUUUUUUCAGUCUCUGUCUUCUACAUAUUUAUCUAGCCGCGGCUACUGAUGCCCUGUCUAUGAACAUAGCAUGUAUAUUUGUAAAUAGGAGUCCAGCCCUAUAGGGUUGAACAGCCUUGAGGGAACAGGUCUGCUGGUACCAAAUUUCAGAUAUGUUUGUUAUGGUGUUACUAAAGUCUAAAAGGAACUAACAUAUUAGCAUAACAAUGUUAUUUUCUGCCUCUAUAGAAGUUUUCGUGAGAAAAUCUGGAAAUGUUUAUCUAAAUAUUAAUGAAAUCUUCAUAAAUUUCUUAUAAAGUAUUAUUCAUUAAGAAAAAAGAUGCAUGAGUCUAAACAAUAAGUCCUAAAAUAUGCUGUACAACAAAUGAUAUUCUGCACUGCCUAAUAAUUUUUACAUAAAAUAUUAAAAAUUAUUUAAUUACACUGUAGGUUUUUGCUUCAGUCAAGGCAUUGCUUUGGGGUUUGAGUUUAACUAUGAUCUUUUCAUUAUAUGCAUAAAAUCUGCAGAGUCAAAGUAACUAAAAUGUUAUGUUCUGCAUAUGGUCCCAAAUAUACAUAGUUUUACCACUUGUUAAAAUAGGGAAAUGAUGACAUUAUUAUGAGGCAAUGAGUAUAAAGCCUAUUUAAUAAAAAAUAUUACUGUACAAAUAGUAUUUAAAAAUUCAUAUUGUUUCAUUUAUGGAAAGAAUAUUGCUUGUUUCUUGGUUAGUAGGGUACAAUAACUCUAAACUGUCCAAAUGUUUUAACAAUUUAUUCAUGAAUCUUGAUUAAACACUAACCUAAAUUCAAGUUUUGCCCAUGCUUGAGUGUAA
This is a long non-coding RNA of Numida meleagris (helmeted guineafowl), 3160 nucleotides long. RefSeq lists it as uncharacterized. NCBI's taxonomy places the organism in Eukaryota, Metazoa, Chordata, Aves, Galliformes, Numididae. The transcript has 7 exons. The record is from RefSeq and is a predicted model, not a curated record.